This 227-nucleotide long non-coding RNA is filed under the name Mytilus galloprovincialis (Mediterranean mussel). The record is from RNAcentral. Lineage: Eukaryota; Metazoa; Mollusca; Bivalvia; Mytilida; Mytilidae.
AAAGAAAUUACUUUUAUUUACCUUUUUUCAGGAUCACUUGGAAAACAAUAUGGAAAUAAUGUACCCAGGAGAAAAUAUAAGGCCUAUGAAAAAACUAGAAUGAAUAAGGCAUUCAAAGCUGUAAUGUGUGGUAAAAUGAAUGCCCAGGAUGCUGCUAUAACUUUUGGUGUACCUAGGACUACAUUAUAUGAUAAAGUGUUUAGAGAAAGAGCAAAACAUCCAAACCG